UGGCUCAGUUGUUAAGAGUGCUUGCCUUGCAUGCACGAGGCCCUGGGUUCGAUUCCCAG
RNAcentral lists this transfer RNA (59 nucleotides) under Dipodomys ordii (Ord's kangaroo rat). It matches the Rfam family "tRNA", at positions 8 to 63 of the family's 71-position model. From Rfam's summary of the family: Transfer RNA (tRNA) molecules are approximately 80 nucleotides in length. Their secondary structure includes four short double-helical elements and three loops (D, anti-codon, and T loops). The record is from Rfam by way of RNAcentral. Lineage: Eukaryota; Metazoa; Chordata; Mammalia; Rodentia; Heteromyidae.